Molecule: ribosomal RNA, 407 nt
Filed under: Arion iratii
Lineage: Eukaryota; Metazoa; Mollusca; Gastropoda; Stylommatophora; Arionidae
Description: partial 16S large subunit ribosomal RNA
Rfam family: Bacterial large subunit ribosomal RNA
Source: RNAcentral
GGUGUAGUCUGCCCGGUGAUAUAGAUUUAUUUUUAACGGCCGCAGUACUUUGACUGUGCUAAGGUAGCAAAAUAAAUUGGCUUUUAAUUAAGGUCGAGAAUGAAAGGCAUAAUGGGUAAAAGCUGUCUCUUUAAUUUAUUAAUAAUUUAUUUAAUAGGUGAAAAUCCCUAUAAGACCACAUUAGACGAGAAGACCCUUAGAGUUUUUAAAAUAUAAGCUAAAAGGGCUAGUUUUAUCCUUUUUUGUUGGGGCGACAUAGUACCACAUUAAACGUACUAAAUAAUUUGUGACUUAUUACAAGACUUUAUUUAAAUAUGAAUAUAACUACCUGAGGGAUAACAGCAUAAUUUAAUAUAUAAGAUUGUGACCUCGAUGUUGGACUAGGAACUAAGAGUAUUAGUCAUACG